CAGUUACAUCAGCAUGAAGAACAGCAUAAUACACUAUGUAACAUUGGCUAAGAGGUAGUCUUAACUCGGGGUUCGAUUUUUCGAGUUUUUUAAAAUUUUCCAUUAGUUCAAUGGACUUUAAUUUUACCGCAUCUACCAUGACGAGGCCGAGAGUGGUGAGGUCCGCCCCCUCGGCCUCGGAGGUACGCGGAUCGGAUUGAAGGGUAGUGAGACAAAGUGGGUAGUUAGGGGUGGCUCUGCAGGUCGAGUUGAUGAGAUUAUUAUUGUUGUUGUCGUUGUUGAAUGCCAGAUUGGUGAUUAGCAUAAAUAUGGGGAAUAAGUUUCUCAUUUUUUUUUGAGAGUGGUGUUAUUGAAGAUGAAAGAUAUAAUAGGAGGAGAGGAG
RNAcentral lists this long non-coding RNA (382 nucleotides) under Nicotiana tabacum (common tobacco). Its description in RNAcentral is "long non-coding RNA (NTAB_LNC018003)". Lineage: Eukaryota; Viridiplantae; Streptophyta; Magnoliopsida; Solanales; Solanaceae. The record is from RNAcentral.